UUCGAAAGAGAAGAGAUGAAAAGACGAUUUCAUCUGUGAUGGUGACGGAGGAGAACUGCGGGCGAGGAUCAGCAGGAUAUGGACGGCGAGUUCGGUUCGGUGCGAGAGGUGUUGAGAGAUCGUCUCCGCCUCUCCUCCAUCUCCAUAGCCCAUGCUCAAGGCUAUCGGUCGGGUCCGGUGAAUGGGUCCUCACCUGGAACCGGGACCGGACCGAUAUUUACCGGUUCAGGUUCGGUCCGGUUCUUUUUGCUCAUAGAACCGUCAAACGCCCCUCCUCCUCCAUCUCCGAAGACUCUCUGCGUUGCUAGGGUCUUGAAACAGCGGAGGCGGCUGUCGCAGUGGGGCCGAAGAUCAUGGUGGGAUUCAAGAACCGGUACAUGGUGAUGGAGGUAUUCUUGGAUCCGAAUCGAGAGCUCGCGGUGGAUGACCCCAUCAUACUCACUCAAUUCAACGUAUCCAAAGCGAUACGGGACAGCAUCCUCGUGAACUUCGGGGAGUGCGGCCUCGCUUCGUCUCUCGGAUCCUUUCAAGUGAAGUAUGUAAAUCCCAUCACGAAGCUUUGCAUCAUCAGAGCUUCUAGGGAGGAGCACCAGAAGGUUUGGGCUGCGAUCACCUUGGUCACGAGCGUCGGAAAUUGCCCGGUGCUGUUUAAUUUACUCGACUUGAGCGGAAGCAUCAAGGCCGGUAAAAAAGCUGCCUUGAAGUGUGAUGAGUUGAAAUUUGAGCAGUACAAGCUUGCCUCCGGGUCUUGUCUCUCACCUGAGGUGAUUCAGCAGAUGCACAACUACCAAGAAAAGAUUAAAAUUUUGGAGCACUAGGAGCUCUGCACUUGUACAGUGUACACACCUCUGGCUGGUCUAUGGAAGCAGGGCAAGAAACCCUUUUCAACUUUCACCUUAAGGAUGAUAACUUUCCUUUUCUUCCUCAAGCCCCCUCAGCUCUCUUCUCACUGGAGUUGAUAUUCCGUAUAUCAGACACGCCAGAUUUACACCAAGGUUCAAGAUGCAAUGUGGAAUAUGAAGCCGAAAGAUUAUUGUUUGAGCACAAAUACAAAAGAAUUGCUGGUACCAGUUAUGUUUUUUGCUGGCAGGGUGCAGCGGUCUUGACUUGAGUCUGAUUGCCCUCUACUCCAUGAGAUAAUUUUGGGGUGCUGAAUAAAUGAUGAUUGCAAGCCUGUAUCUGUUUUGUGCACUCUGGAUGCUUCCAAAUUGCAUUGAGAUCCCUUGAUUUCGAUGGUUUAGAUGUAUUUGGACGUCGUGUAUCUGCCAAAAGCUGAACAUUACCAUCUCAAUCCCCCUUUAUAUAAACUGAGAGGGACUGUACAAGUACACAACUUCCUUGCGCACACAAAGUUUGAGCCAAACCACAGGCACCAAGAAUCUCUGGAAACACAUAGCCAGAUGAAGCAGCUCUCUUAUCAUUGAAUUCAAGGAAAGUAGCGAUCCAUGAUUGGGGCUAAUGAAGCGUUUCCAAGUGUCACUGUACCAUGUCAUCUAUAUUCUCUUUACGUUUUAACUACUAAACUGGUGCAGACGAACCAAUCUCUUAAAGCUGAAUAAUCUAUUACCAGUAUCAAUAUAAUUCAGUUAUAGAAGUCAUUACGGUA
Molecule: RNA transcript, 1606 nt
Organism: Eucalyptus grandis
Lineage: Eukaryota; Viridiplantae; Streptophyta; Magnoliopsida; Myrtales; Myrtaceae
Gene name: probable ribonuclease P/MRP protein subunit POP5
Exons: 7
Source: RefSeq, a predicted model, not a curated record